RNAcentral lists this unclassified non-coding RNA (240 nucleotides) under soil metagenome. RNAcentral describes it as "partial contains 5.8S ribosomal RNA, internal transcribed spacer 2, and large subunit ribosomal RNA". The record is from RNAcentral.
AACGGUCUAUACCUGCGGUACCUGCGGAAGGAUCAUUACAGAGUUGCAAAACUCCCAAACCAUUGUGAACGUUACCUUCUCGUUGCUUCGGCGGGCGGCCCGGGUCCUUCCCGGCGCCCCCCGGCCCCUCGCGGGCGCCCGCCGGAGGUAAACCAAACUCUUGAAUUGUAUGGCCUCUCUGAGUCUUCUGUACUGAAUAAGUCAAAACUUUCAGCAAUGGAUCUCUAGAUCGGAAGAGCA